GAGGGUAUAACUCAGUGGUAGAGUCCGUGCUUAGCAUGCAUGAGGUCCUGAGUUCAAUCUUCAGUACCUCCA
RNAcentral lists this transfer RNA (72 nucleotides) under Camelus bactrianus (Bactrian camel). It matches the Rfam family "tRNA". From Rfam's summary of the family: Transfer RNA (tRNA) molecules are approximately 80 nucleotides in length. Their secondary structure includes four short double-helical elements and three loops (D, anti-codon, and T loops). Further hydrogen bonds mediate the characteristic L-shaped molecular structure. tRNAs have two regions of fundamental functional importance: the anti-codon, which is responsible for specific mRNA codon recognition, and the 3' end, to which the tRNAs corresponding amino acid is attached (by aminoacyl-tRNA synthetases). tRNAs cope with the degeneracy of the genetic code in two manners: having more than one tRNA (with a specific anti-codon) for a particular amino acid; and 'wobble' base-pairing, i.e. permitting non-standard base-pairing at the 3rd anti-codon position. Lineage: Eukaryota; Metazoa; Chordata; Mammalia; Artiodactyla; Camelidae. The record is from Rfam by way of RNAcentral. RNAcentral also lists the same sequence under 2 other names.